RNAcentral lists this ribosomal RNA (253 nucleotides) under uncultured bacterium. RNAcentral describes it as "partial 16S ribosomal RNA". It matches the Rfam family "Bacterial small subunit ribosomal RNA", at positions 524 to 776 of the family's 1533-position model. The record is from RNAcentral.
UACGUAGGGGGCAAGCGUUGUCCGGAAUCAUUGGGCGUAAAGCGCGUGUAGGCGGCCCGGUAAGUCCGCUGUGAAAGUCGGGGGCUCAACCCUCGAAUGCCGGUGGAUACUGCCGGGCUAGAGUCCGGAAGAGGCGAGUGGAACUCCUGGUGUAGCGGUGGAAUGCGCAGAUAUCAGGAAGAACACCGACGGCGAAGGCAGCUCGCUGGGACGGUACUGACGCUGAGGCGCGAAAGCGUGGGGAGCGAACAGG